Molecule: long non-coding RNA, 2919 nt
Organism: Ixodes scapularis (black-legged tick)
Lineage: Eukaryota; Metazoa; Arthropoda; Arachnida; Ixodida; Ixodidae
Exons: 4
Source: RefSeq, a predicted model, not a curated record
CAGACCUGCCGGCAGACUUCCGAGCUAAGCCUGAUUAAACAAAAACGUUUGAUCCGGCGGAAUAAUGUGUUUGAUAUUACAUCCCAUGUCAACAAGGAACUGCGCUGUCUGUCUUCGCCCCCAACAGGUUUUAUUCUUCCGGGUUUUUCAAAUCUUUACCAACCCGCGUCCGAUCGUAAUACCCCGAUCACAACAAAUAGUUGAUCGUGCUCCGAUGGCUCCAAACAUCAGCCGGCAAGGAAGUUACGUUUUUCGCUUCUAUAUUUUGACCCAAGUGAUGGCUGGUCGUGGUUCAUCAGCGUUUGUUUUGAAACUGAUGGGUACCACAAGGCAUGAAGGAGGUGACUUGCAGCAGCAAGGCACUGCAAGCCUUCGCAGCAACUGGCUAGCCAGUGCUGCUCUGUUCUGAACUGCACUGCGUGUCAUGCGGAGGUUUUGUGCAAGCUCUCUGGGCGGCGACGCUAGCCACGAUUGGCUUCGUGGAUGCACAGAAAUACUCAAGGCGCUUGACGUCUGUGGCUCAUCUGUAUUGUUUUUCCCGGUACCACGGCAUGAAGGAGCUGGCCUCCCUCCCUUCCAUCAGCUGCGAGAUACUACAAGCACUGGGCUACAGCUGCAGCUAGCCCAUGGGUACCGGGGACCAUGACAUCAGUGAGCUGGCUUUCACCUUGUCCAAGGCAGCAGCGGAACACUACGGGCGGGACCCUGGAUCACUGCACCAUGGAUGCCGUCCUGUACCCUGCACGGCACUGCGUGUGGCUUAAGUGGCCAAGCAGAGGGUCAUUGCAUGACUUUUAUGAGGCGCCGCUAGCCAUUGUAAGUACAUUUUGGACACUCAUGUCUGGUGAUGUACUUUUGUGCUCUACCGCAGAGCACAUUUGGUGGCGGUUCAGUCUUGCCAAUUACACCAUUUUGAAACGGAACACAUUUAGUGGUGGCUCGGUUUAGGUUUCCUGGCUCGGUGAUCUUGCAACAGUGUCUAGACUUGGCGUAAACCUUUUUGUACUUCAUUGUCAAGGCUAGUGUAAUUUCUGCAAUGCCGUUGAAGCCACUUCUGCACGCAAACAAGAUAAAAGUCGAAGCCACAUGCUCGUGCACAGUGUAUGACUACAUGUAUGCAUGGGCACUCGUGCCCAUGCAUACCCACUCGCAACAUGGAGCAUGUUUGUUUCGGCCGACACUCCACGCGUUCAUUUCGGCGUCGCCACUCCACACGUCUAUGCACUCGCUGCACCUUGAGAAUCAAGUGUGCACCAGAAUGCACUCCCGUCAUGCAUCACUCGGGAGAGGAACAAGAGCAGACGACUGGGGUUUUUCCGCCAUAAGGAACGAGAACCGAAAAAAAGGAGAUUUUCUGCUAAGAAACUGCGUCCCACGGGCAGCAAAAUCGGACGCGAGCUGGGCUAUUUAUUCUGUGAAGCAAGCAAUCGACAACCUGUGCUUCAUUUUCAAUUUUUCUUUCAGUUUGUUGCCACACACUUUUUUAUUUUAUUUAUUUAUUUAUCAAUACUGCCGGCCCAAUAUUGGGCCAAGGCAGGAGUGGGGUGAUACAGUGUCAUACCUGCAAAUUAUAAACACAACAGUUCUAAACAAAAAGCAAUCUUAGCACUGAAAAAUAUCUACGACUUAAUCGAAAGAAGAAAAUCAAUCAAUAUCAACAGUAUUACAGUAACCAAAUGUAAGGCUAGUAAUAACAGUAGCAGUAAAUGUAACAGCAGUAAUAACUAAUAAAAUAAAGACAGUAAAAAUAAUGUCAUAACAGCAAUAAAUGCAAUCUUAGCACUGAAAAAUAAUAUCUACGGCUCUUCCGAAAGAAGAAAGUGAAUCAAUAUCGAUAACAUCACCGGGAAGGCUGUUCCAAAAAUCAAUUGUAUGCACAAAAAAAAGAUUGUUUAUAGCUAUUUAUUCGAGCUUUAAUAGGGGCUACGGUCUGUGAGUGAUGCAAGCGGUCCGAGUAAAAACUUUUUGUUUUUAGGUAAAUCACGCUAUCAAUUUUUAUACUACUCUUGAAAAUCUGAAAGAACAGCUUCAAACGUUGGCUCUCUCUUCUGUUUGACAGCGGGCUUAUAUUGGCUCUCCUUUUACGUUCGGUCACAGACAUAGUUUGUCUGAAAUCUGAAAAAACUAUAUGCACUGCUAGCAAUUGAAUAUCUUCGAGUUCACUGACCAGAGAGCUCUGCCAUGGGCUCCACACUCCAGACACAUAUUCUAACACAGGUCUAAUAAUUGUCUUAUAAGCAAGAAUUUCAACGGAAGGGGGAGAUUUACCCAGCGUUCCCCUCACGUAUCACAAUUUGUUAGUUGCCCGCUUCUUAACAUACUGUACAUGCCUUUUCCACCCAAGGUCACAAGACAAAAUCACUCCCAAAUAUUUGUAACUGUCUACUUCAGUCAAUCCUAUGCCAGCAACCUCAUAGCUAAAAUUUAAGAUAGUUCUUUUUGUUGUAAUAUGCAUGUACUGAGUUUUGCUAAUAUUAAUAUCUUCAUGUUAUUUUCAUGACACCAAGACGCAAUGUUAGCCAAUGCGUCGCUCACUUUUAUCUGGUCUGUAAAGUUUAUAUUCAUCUCGUCUCGUCUCGUGACAUGAAGUCGCUCGUCUUCGGGUCUGUGCUGACGGCGUUGUCGCCGAUUGCCAGUCGAGGGUUUUAGUGAUGUCGGGAUAAUAGACUUAGGGUUGAAUAACUUGGCUUAAUAUACAGGUGUUAUACACAAAAAUUACAGCAUAGUUAGAGUUCGCUAGUUCUCAAAACUCAAUGGCCUCUGCCGUCUAACUCUCUAAGUGACACCCCUGCACUUUAUCCACUUGAUUUUUUUCCGCAUCACUCUUGAUGGGCCUUUUAUCUCAACUCCUGCUGCAUCGCUCUCGAUGUGUCUCCUCUCAAGUCUCUCAGUCAACUCCCCCUUCUCAACUCUGCCGCU